Long non-coding RNA from Bos taurus (domestic cattle), 1392 nucleotides. The record is from Ensembl. NCBI's taxonomy places the organism in Eukaryota, Metazoa, Chordata, Mammalia, Artiodactyla, Bovidae.
UUCCCCCUCACCCUGCCGCAGGGCCCACGCAGCAGCGGGCAGGGGGGCGGGGAGCAUGUUUCUUAUCUACAACCCAGCCUGGCAGGGAGGGAGGCUUGCCCAGAAUCAGUCCUGGCUGCCGCUGGCUGCCAGACCCCGUGCCCCGAAGCCCGUGUCAGAUGGGGCCAGGGCAGAAGGAGAGGCUGGAGCUGCUGCUGGCCCUUGGCAGGCGUCCCUCCAGGUGGACAGUGAAGGGACUCAUGUAUCCAUCCUUCCCCAAACCCCGCUUCCCAUCAGGCUGGCAUGCAACAUGAGCGGAGCUCCCUGUGCUCUACACGAGCAGCUUCGUCCCGUAGGCCCGGGUUGUCAGGAGCACCGAGGAGUCCCCCCGCAGUGGCCCUGGCAGGUCAGCCCGAGAGAGCAGGGCCGCCACGUCUGCGGGGGCAGCCUCAUCAGCCUCCGUGGGUGCUGCCCGCCGCCCACUGCGUCUGCAGCUCUGUGAGCCUGACCGUCCAGCUGGGAGCAUCUGUCCUGCACACCAGCCCCCCAGGCUGUCUUCGUGGCUGUGCUCUGCGUCAUCUGACACCCCUCCUUCAACGGGAAUGUGCCUGCUGAAGCUGGCUCCGCUGUGCCCGUCUCCCAAACCGUCAGGCCCAUCCCUCUGGCCUCGGCAGGCUCCUCCUUCCCACCGGGCACCCUCUGCUGGCUCACCGGCUGGGGGGACAUCAGGCAGGAUGUGGCCCUGCCAGAGCCCCAUAGGCUUCAGGAGGUGGACGUGCACAUUGUCAGCCUGCAGAGCUGCCGCAGGCUCUCCUGCUUGGAGCCCGUCACCAAGGAGAUGCUGGGUGCUGGCCACUGCCAGGGCCAGAAGGGCUUCUGCAAGCUCAGACCCCCAUUGGCACUCCUGCCCUGGUCCUUCAUUGGGCCUGGGGAGCCACCGGACCCCUCCGGGCCUGUUUCCUGCUCAGCACAGUGAGGGUGACUCUGGAGGUCCCCUGGUCUGCCCGCUCCAGGACCAGCGCUGGGCACAGGUGGCAGUGGUGAGCUUCAGUGGGGUCUGCGCUGAGCCCAGCCACCCGGGCGUGUGCGCCAAUGUCUCUACCUGCCAGCCCUGGAUCCGCGCCUCGGCCUCCUGCCGAGACACCUGCUCGGGGGCUGACCCCUCCCCGGGGCAUGGCCUGCCCUUCUCCCAUCAUCUCCUCCGAGCUGCCCAUUUCUGUGGGGCCCUUCCCUGCUCUGGCUCCCUGUCCCGCCUGUCCCCGCCUGUCCCGCUCUCCACCCUGACCCCCACGUGACCAGGAUGGAAGACAGCCGGGGCAUGCAGCCGGCUUGACUUGUUUAAAGCAAAGAGCUGGGUCAGGAGGGAAGCACAAAGUUGCUGGGCCCUGCGGGUGGCCUCGGGGGCCCUGGGGG